RNAcentral lists this transfer RNA (69 nucleotides) under Malaccina discoidalis. RNAcentral's name for it is "tRNA-His". Lineage: Eukaryota; Metazoa; Arthropoda; Insecta; Blattodea; Blattellidae. The record is from RNAcentral.
AUCUAGGUAGUUUAAGAUUUAAAAUAUUAAUUUGUGGUAUUAGUGAUGCAAAAUGAUUUGCUCUGGAUC